RNAcentral lists this long non-coding RNA (223 nucleotides) under Lathyrus oleraceus (garden pea). RNAcentral's name for it is "Pisum sativum (pea) long non-coding RNA (PSAT_LNC027104)". Lineage: Eukaryota; Viridiplantae; Streptophyta; Magnoliopsida; Fabales; Fabaceae. The record is from RNAcentral.
AUAACUUUUUCAAAUCAUGAUACAUCUUCGUAGCUCCAGGAUGAAUACUCAAGCCACUACGAUGUCCUUCCUCCAGGAUACUCUUCUUAAGUUCGGUAACAUCCGGAAUACAUACCCGAUUACCAAAUUUCAAAACACCACUCUCAUCAACUCUGAAUUCACCACCUUGACCUUGAUUCACUAGAGUCAACUUAUCAACCAAAAGCACAUCGGAUUUCUGACC